Molecule: ribosomal RNA, 467 nt
Filed under: uncultured bacterium
Lineage: Bacteria
Description: partial 16S ribosomal RNA
Rfam family: Bacterial small subunit ribosomal RNA
Source: RNAcentral
GAUGAACGCUGGCGGCGUGCUUAACACAUGCAAGUCGAACGGUGAAGCAGAGCUUGCUCUGUGGAUCAGUGGCGAACGGGUGAGUAACACGUGAGCAACCUGCCCCUGACUCUGGGAUAAGCGCUGGAAACGGCGUCUAAUACUGGAUAUGAGCUGCGACCGCAUGGUCAGCAGUUGGAAAGAUUUUUCGGUCUGGGAUGGGCUCACGGCCUAUCAGCUUGUUGGUGAGGUAAUGGCUCACCAAGGCGUCGACGGGUAGCCGGCCUGAGAGGGUGACCGGCCACACUGGGACUGAGACACGGCCCAGACUCCUACGGGAGGCAGCAGUGGGGAAUAUUGCACAAUGGGCGAAAGCCUGAUGCAGCAACGCCGCGUGAGGGAUGACGGCCUUCGGGUUGUAAACCUCUUUUAGCAGGGAAGAAGCGAAAGUGACGGUACCUGCAGAAAAAGCGCCGGCUAACUUCGUG